GAGCACGUAGGUGGGUUUGUAAGUCAGAUGUGAAAGCCUUCUGUUCAACGGAAGAAUUGCAUCUGAAACUACAAACCUUGAGUGUAGGAGGGGAGAAUGGAACUUCUGGUGGAGCGGUGAAAUGCGUAGAUAUCAGAAGGAACGCCGGCGGCGAAAGCGAUUCUCUGGCCUAUUACUGACACUCAGUGUGCGAAAGCUAGGGGAGCAAACGGGAUUAGAUACCCCGGUAGUCCUAGCCGUAAACGAUGGGCACUAAGUAGAGGGGU
Molecule: ribosomal RNA, 266 nt
Filed under: uncultured Planctomycetota bacterium
Lineage: Bacteria; Pseudomonadati; Planctomycetota
Description: uncultured planctomycete partial 16S ribosomal RNA
Rfam family: Bacterial small subunit ribosomal RNA
Source: RNAcentral